ACAUCGACCUCUUCCUGUCAGACCAGCGCCCAGGAAGUACACCGUGAGUUUGGAGUCAAUCGAGGAAUGUGAGGAGGCUUUGGAGAUAGACCCCAGUGAAGAGGUGGUGGUGGCACGGAAGGCAAAGAGGCGAGUGAAUUUCUUCAAGCGCCUAUUUACUGCU
Amblyraja radiata (thorny skate) is the source of this 163-nucleotide long non-coding RNA. RefSeq lists it as uncharacterized. The record is from RefSeq and is a predicted model, not a curated record. Lineage: Eukaryota; Metazoa; Chordata; Chondrichthyes; Rajiformes; Rajidae. The transcript is spliced from 2 exons.